This 1571-nucleotide long non-coding RNA is filed under the name Nasonia vitripennis (jewel wasp). RNAcentral describes it as "uncharacterized LOC116417289". Lineage: Eukaryota; Metazoa; Arthropoda; Insecta; Hymenoptera; Pteromalidae. The record is from RNAcentral.
UGCAGAAUGCAUUAUAACCGCAUUGCUGAAACGCGAAAAUCACGACAAAAGAACGAGAGCGUGAAAUUGCAGGGCCUUACGGGAGUCUGGCAGCAAUGGCGGCACUACAUGCGGCGACCGAGAUAAAUGUUCGAAAGAGAAAGAGAGACGACCGUUCGUGGAACUGAUCCCGAUGUCUCACGCGAUGUGCGAGUGACAAGAAUUUCAAGAAUCAUUUAAGGUUGCCGCGCGGCCGCUUCGACUGGGGCCGCGCAAAACUAGUCAUUUCUCUGGCUUCGGUGCGCGUAUCCGAGGAGGUAUAAGGAGCGAGACGUCCCGGGAUAAACGGCUGCUCGACGCGCGGGAAGACCGAGAGCCGAGAAGUGGCGAUUCGUGAUUUGUUCCGCGACGUGGAAUGCCUCGUUCCGCGAACGAGCGGAAUUAACGAUUUGAAAUCUUUUUCGAGUGCUGCGAGGCGCACGGCGCGUCGCGGAAAAAGAAAGAACGUGUACGCAGCCACGUUCCUUACAAGUCGUUUACCGAGAAUCUGCUUCUGCCGCUGUUCCUGCCUACCGGUGCAGAGCGCCUGACGAUUCUAUUUUUGAUGUGUAGCCGUCGUUGUCGCGAGAGAGAGAGAGAGAGAGAGAGAGAGAGAGAAACGGCUCUCCUUCCUUCUGUGUUUUUUCUCUCCACACGGCUCGUUGCAAGCGUAAUUGACGGGAAUUCAGUUUCUUUAAAUUGAGUCCUUCGACGCCUGCUUGUCGCGUGUGCGCUCACGCUCGCGAGACUUUCGUUAGAAAUUAUUAAGGACGAGGAAGACCCCGCAACUCUUUUACCUGUCAGAAGUUCGUUUUCUUUGCGUUCCCCCUGUAGGUCAGGUCGGAGUUUGUUGCUUCCUAUCUUGCUAAUUUCGAAUUAAAUCUUAAAGAAUCAGCUAAACCUUUUGGUAGUAAAAUGUCAAUCAGAAGUGGUUUAAUAAAACUCUUUCUACUCUACUCAAAGCAAUCUGUAGAAGGUAUACAAAGUUGGUGACUGUAUUUUAUGUACGAAGGAAAUUCUUUAUUGGCCAAUAAAUUAUGGCCACUGGAACUCAAUAAUUCAUAUCCGAUAAAUAAGAAUUCUCUUUCUUUUUCUCUCUGUCUCAUUCUUUCAUGUGUACAAAUCAUGAAAUUGAUAGGUUGAAUAUUAAGGUGCGAAUUACCAACCAGUGAACGUGACGUUUUUAAGGUGCUUGUAAAAAAUCUCUUGAUGAUGUUACUGUGCGCGUGUAAAUUGUUGAAACUAAAACCAAUAACCAAAAAACCAAUUAUACGUAUAUUAAAUACGUUCGUUUCCAGUAUUGCGAUCGAACCACGUUUUGGUUCGAAUAUAAACGAAUGAAAAAGUGCUAUGAGAUGUCGAUGUGUCGCGAGUGUAAUGAGCCGUCACCGAUAAAAAGGAAUUUAAAAACUUAACUUAUUGUGAUCGAUGAUAAAAUCACCAGGGCUUUUUUUCCUGUUAAAAAUGCUAGUUUUGAUCCUGCAUACAUCUAACUGCUAUUUUUGAACAUUUGUUCGUAUUUGACUUUUUAAGAAACUAUAUGUUGAACGCAA